AAGCUGAAAUGGUAAAAUGAAAAACCAAAGCAAGUGCAUGGAGCUCUGCUAAUGGCAAUUUGAACACGAUCUUGAGCUACAUCGAGCAGAAAGUUAAAAGAUCCACAACAAAAGAAAACACCUUCGAAUUCACUAUAAAGCACAAACGGCUGAAGACAGGAGUUCCAUUUUAGCGGUUACAUGGAUACGUGAACCUCGUUUGCUUUGCGACUUCGAUUUUGCCAGCCUAGAGUGAAGCAUCAACUGGGCAUGUCGGGGUAAGAGAAAGCAUUAUGAAAAAACUGUUAGCAAUCUUCCGACAGCUUAAUUAAUACCACACGUAACUCCAGGUUAUUUUAACUUUAAUUUCAUGCUACCGGUAAUGAUAAUUUUAGGAUUCCAUAUGCGCCAGAUCUAGAGCAUUGAUCGGAGAUACACAAAAGAUAUCUGCAAACAGCUAGAGAGAUUCACACUCGAGACACACAAGUAAUAUACCCUCUCUUUCUGUCUGAGUCAGAAUGCUGUCAUAUGAUUAAGAGCGACCUUUAGCUCUAUCUUUCAACUUUACGCUUUGAAAGUUAUGAAGUUAGCCUCUAACGGGGCCUAGCCCCAUUUCCGACGAGGACCAGUUUCUGCAACGCGAAGAGAACAAUUUGAGUAAUAUCAUCAUCAUCAAAAGGUUUGGACAGCGUGUGCAGAAAAGAAGAGGACAUCGAGACACAGGAUAGGGAGCUGAAGGUGGAGGUGGGUUGGCUGAGUCUGCCGUGAUCUGAACCAAAAUGAGAUUGAACUCACAAAUCACAAGAUUACACUUGAAGGCUGUUGGGCACUUAGAAGACUCGAGAAUUCCUCGGGGACACUAUAGACGCAGAUAGGGGGACAUGAUAUAAACUCUAGCUUGAAAGAAACAUCACACUGGCUAGGCCUACCUAGAGCCUUUUUCAUUGCCCUUUACAGAGUUAAGCUCGACUGGUAGUUUGUGGAAGAACGUGACAAUAAAUUAUUUAAUUUUGCUUCUCUGGUUGUAGUAUAAGGAUGUCGAUUUUCAGAGAACUAUUCAUUUAUAUUUUGAUAUGUUUGAUACAAACCGUGCCCUGCUUUGGUCACGUGGGAAAGGCAAACCUAUAUAAAUUAUAGCACAGAAGCAGAAGUAAAGAAGAACAGACAGGGCGGACAGGAAUUUUUAAGAAAGGAAAUGAAGGAAGUGACAACUGUUCAAGGAGUGUUAGAAGUUCAUCUAACAAGCUAACACUUCGAAAUCUCAAUAAUGUUUUUUAGCAAGCAAGCG
Molecule: non-coding RNA, 1267 nt
Organism: Pocillopora verrucosa
Lineage: Eukaryota; Metazoa; Cnidaria; Anthozoa; Scleractinia; Pocilloporidae
Source: RefSeq, a predicted model, not a curated record